Molecule: long non-coding RNA, 4381 nt
Filed under: Panax ginseng (ginseng)
Lineage: Eukaryota; Viridiplantae; Streptophyta; Magnoliopsida; Apiales; Araliaceae
Description: long non-coding RNA (PGIN_LNC007759)
Source: RNAcentral
AGAGUUAUUUUCUUUCAAUACUCGUAAGGGUUGUUAUUCCAUUCUUUAUUAUUCUGUUGGAAUAACCUGUCUGUGCGGUCUAUCGCAUGCCUGGUGAAUUCUGUUGUUAUUCCAUUCUUUAUUAUUCUAUUGGAACAUCCUGUCUAUGCGAAUUACGCAUGACCUGGUUCCAUUCUUUAUUAUUUUGUUGGAACAUCCUGUUUGUGCGGAUUACGUAUGACCUGGUUCCAUUCUUUAUUAUUCUGUUGGAAUAUCCUGUCUAUGCGGAUUACUCAUGACCUGGUUCCAUUCUUUAUUACUCUGUUGGAAUAACCUAUUUCUGUGGAUUACCGUAUGCAUGGUGAAUGAUCCUUUAUAUUCAUUCCUUAUUAACUUGUGGAAAUAAUCUGUCUACGUGGAUUAGCGCAUGGCGGGCGAAAAUCCAUUUGCAGUUUCAUAUAUUCUAUUAUACUCAGUUGGUUAAAGUUUUGGCUUCUAUACUCCAUGAAAUUAGUAGAAUAUCCUGGAUAUUAGCGCUUCAUCCAGUAUCUUUUCAUGGAAAUAUUAUUCAGAGCAUUCUUGAAUUUUACUCCACAAAGCAGUAUCAUGUUGACGAUUUAGACGUUAUUGAGUUCAGGAUAAAUUAACUUAUAAAUCUUUAAAAUUUAUUCUUAAACUUGUUUUAUUGAAUUGUCACCAUCCUCAUGCUUAUAUUAUGUUGAAAGUCAUCUGUGGCCUGUAGUACAUAGAUGGACUUGGUAUGAUUAUGACCAGGGAUUAUUCGGUAUAAUUAUGACCGUAAUUGAUACAAAUGAUGUGGAAAAAGUCCUCAUUGGCCCGUAGUGCAUUGAUGGAUAGUUUUUGGUAUGAUUAUGGCUAUGGAUUCUCUUCGGCCAAGGGUGCAAAGUUUAAUUAUUUUAUGGCAUGAUCAGGACCGUUGAUGAAAACACGAUUAUCUUUGGCCCGUAGUGCAUAGAUAAUUCAUGGUCGUGAUACUAAAGAAUAUCCUUGGCCUAUAGUGCAUGGAUGAUUUAAUUAUGUGGAUUAUUUAUUAAGCUGAGUCUCAGCGAUAAAAUUUAUGAUAAAUUCUUUUAAAUCAUAGAAGAUAGUAGAUUUUAUGCUCUACUUGACUCUUCUAAUGGAUUGCUUAUUCCGCUGCAAUUGUUGAUCUAAAACUUGUUGUCUAUUAUAUUCUAUCAUUUGUUAUACUGUUGAGGGCUAAGAAUAAUUUAUUCUGCAUUAUCUUAGUCAUAAUAUUUUUUACUGGGCUAGUUGAGCUCACCCUUUCUUUCAAUGUGUUAGUUCCCGGAGGCACAAUAGUUAUCUAGAGGGGGAGGGGGGUUGAAUAGAUAUUUAAAAAUCUUUUCGUUUUAACUUGUUAGUAAAUAAUGAUUAAAACUUUAGCGGAAUUAAUAUUAGUUUUAAUCUCCCUUAAGAUAGUGAGUUUAUGAGAAUGAGGCAGAUAUAGCAGAUAUAGCAGUUAUAGUAAGAAUGUAAGAGACACAGUCGUUUUAAGUGGUUCAGAGCACUUAAAGCUCCUAGUCCACUCUUCUACUCCUCGAGUAGAAAAUCCACUAAGGAUGUCUUUUACACUUUUUGAAUCACUUAGAUUCCUUCUAGACCAUCAGUCUAGGAACUUCUUAGUUCACUCUUGAACUCUUCAAGUCCUGCAGACUUGGCUCUUUUACAGUUCACUUAGAACUCUUCAUGUCCUUCUGACUUGGAACUUUUUCUUCAGUUGAUUGGUAGAUGUUGAGUUCUUGAUGGUUGCUACUCAGUUGCUGUUUAAGCACUUGUUCAAAAGAACUGAGUAGCUGAGCAAGCUUUUCUUUUUAUCAAAUCGUAGAGUUGAGCGUUGAGAGUUCUUGUACGUUUUUGUUCAAUGCUUGUUUACUUCUCUCAUCUGCUUGAUUUGCAGAUAUGUGAUCUUGAAAACUAUCCGUUUGAUCCAUCCGUUGAAGCAUUAAAUGUGUUUGACAUUUCUGUUCUUUGAUGGAGACUUUUCUGCACAUUUUCUGAAUUGCAUUCUGACCCACUGACACAGCAGACUGCUUUCUCACCUAACACCUGAAAAGGUGUUUUUCCCUUUACCAAUUAUACUUUCCUUAGCUUCUUCAAUACGCUUUUUUGUUGCAUACUAAGGAUAUCUUUUAUGCCUUUGGGACUGGUGAGUAUUACAAUGUUUAGAACCCAUUCCAUAUUUGUUGGAGUUUGUCUUCACACAAAACGUGAGGCUUGAUGCUUCUGACACAAGGCAGAUGAUACUCUACGAUUCAGAUCGUGGUGACUUGUCGCCUUGGUGCUUGGUCUGAUGCUAUCAGCAGAGAACACUACGAUUUCUCUUAAAUACUUGCACACUACAAUCUUCGUUUUCUUGACUUGUAAACUCUACGUUUCCGAGAGCACACUAUGAUCUCUAAGUUGGCUCGGCAAACGUUGGGACCACUCUACGAUUUCUGAAGAGGCCCUUCAAAGCAGGCACACUACGAUUCUCGAAGCUCCACGUUUUUGCCUUGACUUCUGCAAUCUUGAUCAGAUUGAUGCACUACGAAUUCUUCGAAGCCUAUCUAUUACAUCUCAAGAUCAACCUAACAGCUUUGAUCUUUCUAUCUAUACAUUCAUUUACAGAAUGAUACACAUUAAGAGCUUAGAUCAACCUAACAAAUUUGAUCUAUCACUAAGUCCUUGUACAUAUAUUCCUUGAAGGGCUUUACAAAUAAUCAUGAGCAUUUAUAUUUAAACAUCAAAUCAACAUAUGCAUUCUCCCAACACAAUGUUCUAUUCAGGAAAUGAGAAUAUAGCUGGGACUAGUCGGGGAAUGGAUUGACGGUUCAGAUGGUUGCAUUAAUAGUCCUCACUAUUCUGUGAAAUAGUGUGACAAUAAAUGUAUUGAGGACUCCAUUGAGUGUGGAUACUGUCUAGAAGAUAAUAUUUGUAUUAAAACUCACAGUUAUGUCUUGUCGUAUUCUACACGACAGAUGUAUAUUUAAGUUUGUAUUUGUAUUCUGUACCAUGUAUUUGGCGACUCAAGAUGGGUGAUGUAUACCUAUUUUGGGGGAGUCACAAUCAUUAUAUAAGAUCAAAGAGAGAGAAAGGUUACUAACUUGCUCAUUUUGCUACUAAUACUCAACUCACUUCUCUCUCAACUCAAACCUCUGAAAUUACCUUACUAGAUCAGUCACAAAACAAGCCCCACUAUCACUUAUAUCAAAUCAGAAAGUCAUAUUCAAGAAUUGAUCAUAGAAAGGAAUAAACCUAAACCAAAUUUUCAAUCUUGUAUGCUAUGUUAGAUGUUAUGUUUAAAUGUUUAAUUAUGUUAUAUAAGGUGUGAAUCAGUGAUCUGGGUUACUAAAUAGUGGAUCCAUAACAUUUAUAUGCUUGAAUCUAAGUUUUUACAAAAUCUGGGAAUUUUUCAAAAGUGGUCUGACAACCGAAUGUCAGACCACAUAGAUCCUUAUCUGGUUAUCACUUUUUUUGUUUAAAUGUUUGAACAUGUAGUAUGUUAGAAGGACUUUAAUUUGGACUUGAAAGAAUGCUUAGAUUAUGCACAGAUUUCAUGUUAUCGUUGGUCAAAGGCCGUUGACCGGCCAUGACUGGGCGUUUUUGGGUAACCCAGAAACUACCCAGAAAGGUCUGACAACAGAUUCAAGCAUCUGGAUCUUUCAGUUGUUUGUUGUGUUAUUCUUGUUGUUGUAUGAUAAUUGUAGUAUGUUGUAGGUACUACUAAUGCAUGCCUUUGUAUCACCUAAGCAUUAAAUAGAUAGAUCAUGGUGACUGGUUAAAAGUAGGUAGGGCGAACAUGAUUUCCAUUUUCUGGGUAACCCAGAAAACGUAUGCAUGUUAUUUCUGACAAGAUUUGACCGAAUGGUAUUCAGUCGUAUUUUGACUGACAUGAUGAAUGUUAAUUGUACCUUGUCGUGUAGACUACAUGUUUGACCCAUUAAACUACCAUAACAUCAACCGGAACCUAGAUUAAAUGGAGCUAGAAACAUCCUACUCGAAGCUGACUGGGUUUCUGGGUAACCCAGAAAACCUAGAAAGUUAUGACAACAAGUUUGAGGGGCUAGAUCUUCAUAAUACAUGAUUGUUUGACUUGUAGGAUAGUUGAUUCAUGUAGUAUUACCUUAUCACUACAUGAUUAGUGUUUAAAAUGUCCCAUAUCACGCUUAGGUUGUGAAUUAAAGACGAUCAAAGGGAGCCCCUUGAACACUAUCUUGUCAGUGUUCUUGAGCUCAAGAACACCAACAACGACAGAAAGUGUCGUUAUAGCCUAUAGCGACGGUUUCUAUUAUUUUCGUUUUCUAAUUUCCGGAAAAUGAUUAAAAAUAGAAAUAAAUUCUAAAAAUCAUUUAAAAAUAGUAAAUAAAUUCCAAAAAUUAUAAAAUCAGUUUUAAUAAUUUGG